Psammomys obesus (fat sand rat) is the source of this 132-nucleotide small nucleolar RNA. RefSeq annotates it as small nucleolar RNA SNORA17. The transcript has a single exon. The record is from RefSeq and is a predicted model, not a curated record. NCBI's taxonomy places the organism in Eukaryota, Metazoa, Chordata, Mammalia, Rodentia, Muridae.
CCUGCCCCUAGAGGUGUUGCAGGUGUGGCUGCUGUGUGUCACACAUGCGAGUCAGUGGGUGACAGGAGAGAGGCCAUGUCUAAGUUCAGUGUCGGGACAUGUGAACAGCUGAAUGAUUAGUAGCCUGGCGCU